ACUAUAUUUUAGGGGAAUAAAGGAAAACAAAGCUCCAAUGGCUCUCUGUCAGCUCCCAAUCGGGUCGCAUAUGAGAACCCAACUCGUUGCUGCGAAUAUUUGCGCCGACGCCGUUGCUCCCAAUCGCCACGAUUUUUCUUUUUCCCGCGCCCUCCUCCUGCCUUCGCACCUCUAUCGGUCGAUUUGGUGCGCGUGUUGCGGCGGAGAGCCGGCGACCUCUGCUGCUUGCCGCUACGCUAUCCUCCACUGCGACAUGAAUCCCAGAAACAGCGCGUCUCUAACGGAUGGAACAAGGUCGCCGACGACAGGAAAUCACUCCGCGGCGGACGGAGAUGUAGAGGUUCAGGAAUUUCUUGAGUUUUGUGACUCCCAGCAGCCAGACAAUAUGGAGAUAUGUUAGAGGAUAGUCCACCAGAAGUUGAAGAUCGUAAGAGGCCAAGUGGAAUUUUUUUUUUAAAAAAAAAGCUAAAGCAUUGCGAAGAGGUGGAAAAGAUUCUUAUUUGGAGGCUUCAAAACAUUUAUGGGAAAGAGAAGAAGGAGGUUGUUGCAGAGAAAGAAAAGAAAAAUGAGGAAAAAGGUUCAAUCUUUCAUAUGAACUAGAGAAAGAGAGGCUUCAGGUUUUGAUCAUAUUAGGGCUGCAAAUGAGGCAAAAAAAAAAUAGAGGUAAAGGAAAGCGAGAUACAGAUGAAAAGAAUGUUAGAGGAAGAGAGGAUUAUGACAAUGGACAUCAGUUCAAUCUUUCAUAUGAACUAGAGAAAUAUAUAUAGGGCUGCAAAUGUUGGGUGUGGAGUCGAACUUUCAUGUUUUUUUUUCCAGACUCGCUCUCUGUUGUGUGUGCAUGUCUGUGCGAGGUGGAGUCAGAUGUGCGUGUGUUUAUAAAUUACAGUAUGAAUCAGAGCUUGUGCUGUUGUCUCGUAUGCUGAACUGCAAAUAUAAUUUCCACUUGUUGUUGCCAGCAAAUAGAAAGAAGAAAUAUAGCAGGUAAUAUUGAAUA
Zea mays is the source of this 994-nucleotide long non-coding RNA. RefSeq lists it as uncharacterized. The transcript has 2 exons. The record is from RefSeq and is a predicted model, not a curated record. Lineage: Eukaryota; Viridiplantae; Streptophyta; Magnoliopsida; Poales; Poaceae.